RNAcentral lists this long non-coding RNA (544 nucleotides) under Sorghum bicolor (sorghum). RNAcentral's name for it is "long non-coding RNA (SBIC_LNC009656)". The record is from RNAcentral. Lineage: Eukaryota; Viridiplantae; Streptophyta; Magnoliopsida; Poales; Poaceae.
UCAAAGAAGGAUGAUAUAUUUUUUUAUCCAAAAUCUCUGUUUCUAACUUUCUAUCAAUUAAGAUAUAAAUAUACUUUUGCAGCUGGUCUAACAUGCGUGUACUUGACCGUCUUUAUAUUGGGUAUUGUCGGGGAAAAAAAUCACACGAGAAGACUAACAUUUUAUACUUUUUUUUUAAACGGGACUGACAAAAGAGCUGUAUGUUGUAUUAAAAAGAAUGGAGCCUAGAAAGACACCUUACAAAUAAAAAAGUGAAAAAAAAAAUAUACAAGAUACUAGCAUUUUAUACUGGGUUCCUGGGAAAAAGAACAUCACACGAUGGCUAGCUUUCACGAUUGAGCCUAACCGUCCGAUCGAUCGGUACCUCACAAAUGACGAUGCAUGAUCACUGUGCAUGCAUAUGCAUGGAGCAUGGUCCUCCACGACAUCACAUGAGGGACCAACUGUUCAGUGUUUUUGUUUUACCCUUCCGUGCUAUGAUUGCACAUCGCUGCAGUCAGCACCAGCGACGACAGCGUCUGUCCUUGCACGUCCUCCCCGGUCC